This 368-nucleotide ribosomal RNA is filed under the name Osornophryne sp. 1 'Ecuador'. Its description in RNAcentral is "partial 12S ribosomal RNA". It matches the Rfam family "Bacterial small subunit ribosomal RNA", at positions 869 to 1405 of the family's 1533-position model. The record is from RNAcentral. Lineage: Eukaryota; Metazoa; Chordata; Amphibia; Anura; Bufonidae.
UCGCCAGGGAACUACGAGCUAAGCUUAAAACCCAAAGGACUUGACGGUACCCCACAUCCCCCUAGAGGAGCCUGUUCUAUAAUCGAUAAUCCGCGUUUAACCUCACCAUUUCUAGCUAUCAGCCUGUAUACCUCCGUCGUCAGCCUACCACGUGAGCGCUAACACAGUAAGCUUAAUGUUAUUUCACCCACACGUCAGGUCAAGGUGCAGCUAAUGAAAAGGAAAGAAAUGGGCUACACUUUCUACACUAGAAAACACGAAAAACUACUAUGAAAUCUAGUUUAAAGGCGGAUUUAGAAGUAAAAAGGAAUCAGCAUGUCCAUUUUAACUCGGCACUGGGGUGUGUACACACCGCCCGGUCACCCUCA